Molecule: long non-coding RNA, 1347 nt
Organism: Herpailurus yagouaroundi (jaguarundi)
Lineage: Eukaryota; Metazoa; Chordata; Mammalia; Carnivora; Felidae
Exons: 2
Source: RefSeq, a predicted model, not a curated record
AGAGCCGGACAUGGGGCUUGAACUCACAAGCCACGAGAUCAUGACCUGAGCCGAAGUCGGACGCUUAACCAACUGAGCCACCAAGGCGCCCCAAGCACAUAUUUCUUAAUCAAGGUUAAAUCUUUGCAUCAAUAAUGAGGGGUUUAUUAAAAAUUUUAACUUUUUAGAUAUACAUUAACCUUUUCUUUUUAACACCAAAUAUUCUCGAUAGCUGUUGUAAUAAGUGAAGUGGUACUUUACUUUUGAUGAAAAUGUACCUAAUGACCAACUGAAUACCUAAGUCUGCUCUAGUGGACACAGGAAAAUGCACUGAAGGCCGUGGACACUGAACUGUAUCUCCGUGAAUGGAGUCUUGGGUGGAUAGAAUGUCAACAUCUAACCAUUUGAAUUUUACUAAAACAAGUGUCUGGAUAAUCAUGCGUUAAAGUAUUUUUUUUCCUUACACUCUUUUAAAUCUUUCCUGGUGAUCCCAAAUUGUACCUAUUGGGUUGUAGACUGCAUUAUUCACUCCUUAGGAGAGAGGGAAAAAGAUAAUUCAUUGUAUUUUAGGUAAGAAGAACUGUUGCUAAUGAAAAAAGUUUAAGGGAUAAACCUCCCAAAAUUUGGCCCUGGAAAGAAAUUUAUAAUGCCUCUAACCCUCAUUUGUUAAGAUGUAGCUGGGCGGUGAAAAGUGGUAUUCUGGGGCUGGGGGCGCUCAGCAUCCCUGGCCCUCACUCACCAGUGCCACUCAGUCGCUGUUGACUCCCCACACCAACACAUACGUGCUUAAAAAAAAAUAAUGGGGGAAGACAUACGAAGAAUUGCUCAAAAUAGGUGUUCCUCUGAGACGUAGGGAAACUGUGACCUGUCCAAGGUUCUAUAGUUCUGUGACAGAACUGGAAUCUGAACUUGAUCUUUUCAGACCUAGAAGUGUUUUGAAAUUUAGAUUUCAUGCAGUUACUGCUUUAGGAACAGCCCUAAUUCAUCAACACUGAUACGUGGACAUUUCAGAGGGAAGAAGGUGACAAUGGUUAAUGCAUUUCUAUUGUGACUCACCUUGAGGAAAUUACUCGGAGGCUUCCAGUUACAGAAGAGAUGGCCCGAUGGCAGCGGAGUGUGAAGCCGUCCGGAUGGAUGAUCAUGCCACCUCUAUCAUGUCCUUAAGAACCUGUCUUCCAGCCUCAGUGUUGACCUUUCCCUAGAGUAGGAGCUUAGCAGUUGGUUCUAUUUAAGGAAAGUUCUAAUGACCAGGAAGUAUGUGUCCCUCUAGUACCUAGAAAUUUACUUCCCGUCAGAUUUGUGAAUACAGUUCAAUCCCAGAAGCAUUCUCUGUCCUACUGUGGCUUGUCCAUUUUUUCUUUCUUUCUU